GGCGCGGUAGCUCAGCUGGUAGAGCGCCGCCCUGAAAAGGCGGGCGUCGCCGGUUCAACUCCGGCCUGCGCCA
This 73-nucleotide transfer RNA is filed under the name Candidatus Margulisiibacteriota bacterium. RNAcentral's name for it is "tRNA-Phe". It matches the Rfam family "tRNA". Rfam says of the family: Transfer RNA (tRNA) molecules are approximately 80 nucleotides in length. Lineage: Bacteria; Bacillati; Candidatus Margulisiibacteriota. The record is from RNAcentral.